This 329-nucleotide unclassified non-coding RNA is filed under the name soil metagenome. RNAcentral describes it as "partial contains 5.8S ribosomal RNA, internal transcribed spacer 2, and large subunit ribosomal RNA". The stretch from base 1 to 120 matches the Rfam family "5.8S ribosomal RNA", at positions 35 to 154 of the family's 154-position model. The record is from RNAcentral.
GAUGAAGAACGCAGCGAAAUGCGAUAAGUAAUGUGAAUUGCAGAAUUCAGUGAAUCGUCGAAUAUUUGAACGCACAUUGCGCCCCUUGGUAUUCCGAGGGGCAUGCCUGUUCGAGCGUCAUUAUAACCCCUCAAGCUCAGCUUGGUGUUGGGGCCUGCUGCACUGGCAGCCCUUAAAAUCAGUGGCGGCGCCAUCUGGCUCUAAGCGUAGUAAUUCUUCUCGCUAUGGAGUCCUGGUGGAUGCUUGCCAUCAACCCCCAAUUUUUCUAUGGUUGACCUCGGAUCAGGUAGGGAUACCCGCUGAACUUAAGCAUAUCAAUAAGCGGAGGA